AUGAAACGGUGAGGUUGCAAUUCACCAUUAAUAAUAUAUAAUAUAAAAGCAAAUUAAAUUACCACGAAUCUAGACGAAACGUCUUUAGAUAACCUGCGGUUUCAAGGGGUCCUGCGCAAUGGGCGCCCGUGAACCUUGUCAGGACCGAGAGGGAGCAGCAAUAAGCGGUUCCGCUCGUGUGCCGCAGACUCACCUCUUGAGUGACUGCAGGUUAUCUAAGGGCGUUUUUAUAGUUAUUUGGUUUUGU
Molecule: signal recognition particle RNA, 247 nt
Filed under: Eubacteriales bacterium
Lineage: Bacteria; Bacillati; Bacillota; Clostridia; Eubacteriales
Description: signal recognition particle sRNA large type
Rfam family: Bacterial large signal recognition particle RNA
About the family: The signal recognition particle (SRP) is a universally conserved ribonucleoprotein involved in the co-translational targeting of proteins to membranes. Archaeal SRP consists of a 7S RNA and homologues of the eukaryotic SRP19 and SRP54 proteins. In most bacteria, the SRP consists of a 4.5S RNA and the Ffh protein (a homologue of the eukaryotic SRP54 protein).
Source: RNAcentral